This 668-nucleotide ribosomal RNA is filed under the name uncultured crenarchaeote. RNAcentral's name for it is "bacterial SSU rRNA". It matches the Rfam family "Archaeal small subunit ribosomal RNA", at positions 580 to 1246 of the family's 1478-position model. The record is from RNAcentral. Lineage: Archaea; Thermoproteati; Thermoproteota.
AAUACCACACAGCUAGGGAGUGGGAGAGGUAGACGGUACUCGGUAGGAAGGGGUAAAAUCCUUUGAUCUAUCGAUGACCACCAGUGGCGAAGGCGGUCUACUAGAACACGUCCGACGGUGAGGGAUGAAAGCUGGGGGAGCAAACCGGAUUAGAUACCCGGGUAGUCCCAGCUGUAAACAAUGCAAACUCAGUGAUGCACUGGCUUGUGGCCAGCGCAGUGCUGCAGGGAAGCCGUUAAGUUUGCCGCCUGGGAAGUACGUACGCAAGUAUGAAACUUAAAGGAAUUGGCGGGGGAGCACCACAAGGGGUGAAGCCUGCGGUUCAAUUGGAGUCAACGCCAGAAAUCUUACCCGGGGCGACAGCAGAAUGAAGGUCAAGCUGAAGACUUUACCAGACAAGCUGAGAGGUGGUGCAUGGCCGUCGCCAGCUCGUGCCGUGAGAUGUCCUGUUAAGUCAGGUAACGAGCGAGAUCCCUGCCUCUAGUUGCCACCAUUACUCUCAGGAGUAGUGGGGCGAAUUAGAGGGACCGCCGUAGUUAAUGCGGAGGAAGGAAGGGGCCGCGGCAGGUCAGUAUGCCCCGAAACCCUGGGGCCACACGCGGGCUGCAAUGGUAGUGACAAUGGGUUCCGAAUCCGAAAGGAGGAGGUAAUCCUCAAACGCUACCACA